UCUCCAUUUCAUACACAAAGAACGGAGCUUCACAGUGGUUAAGUAACUUGGCUGAACUUACACCAGCAUGAAGAUUCAAAUUCCAGUCCAAAACUUAUGGAAAUAUCUAUUAGAGAAGCCUGUAUUAGUUCUCUACCAGAUAUAUUUUCCUAGAUUCAGAAAAGCCUGAAUUUGCAAAAAGUUUGUUUCGAUCAUCAUAGGCAAGGUGAAAUAGAAAGUCGAAGAAAUCAUCUCGGUCAUUACGAGUCCUCAAGUAGUUGCUUUUUGUACUUUGAAUAAAGACUUUAGUCAUAGUAGGAGAGAUAGACUGUAAUGGACUUACUUCACGAUGGCUGCACCAGAGGUUCCAAGAACGAUGGCUUUCAACUUCAACCCACAUCUAAAACACACCACUGUAGCCACACCCUACACCCUGUGGUUAUCCAGUUGUGAGUCCUAUUGGAGAGAUGAGGUGUAUGACAGUUUCCUGGAGGGGGUCAUAUGGAUCUACUACUACCUUCCCACUGACAUUAGGCAGAUGUUCAUUAGAUUGGUUUGAUAGAUGUAAUGGUUAAUAUUGAGUGUCAACUUGAUUGGAUUGAAGGAUGCAAAGUAUUGU
RNAcentral lists this long non-coding RNA (598 nucleotides) under Homo sapiens (human). RNAcentral's name for it is "HSALNT0374237". Lineage: Eukaryota; Metazoa; Chordata; Mammalia; Primates; Hominidae. The record is from RNAcentral.